This is a long non-coding RNA of Otolemur garnettii (small-eared galago), 324 nucleotides long. RefSeq lists it as uncharacterized. The record is from RefSeq and is a predicted model, not a curated record. The transcript has 3 exons. NCBI's taxonomy places the organism in Eukaryota, Metazoa, Chordata, Mammalia, Primates, Galagidae.
GCCUCUGGUUUCUAGGACCGAGCAGCUCCCGGUCCUUUUCCUUGUAUCUCCGCAGGUCCCACCAAUACGGACUUGAUGGUAGGAGCUGCAACAACCAAACCAAAGACAUGGCCUUGAGGGUGGAAGCCAUGAUAGUGGAGAAGAAAGAGGGAAGAAGCCAUAUCCCCAGUGAUGUCAAAAAGGAGACAGAAGAGGAGGGAAGACAGAGAGGAAAGAAGGCCAUGUGAAGACAGAGGCAGAAAUUGGAGCGGUGCAGUCACAAAAAAUUCCUGGAGCCACCAGAAGCUGGAAGAGGCAAGGAAGAAAGAGCUCCCGGAGGGAGUG